AGCAGCAGCCGCGGGAAUACAGAGGGUGCGAGCGUUAAUCGGAUUUACUGGGCGUAAAGCGUGCGUAGGCGGCUAAUUGAGUCGGAUGUGAAAUCCCCGAGCUUAACUUGGGAAUUGCAUUCGAUACUGGUUAGCUAGAGUGUGGGAGAGGAUGGUAGAAUUCCAGGUGUAGCGGUGAAAUGCGUAGAGAUCUGGAGGAAUACCGAUGGCGAAGGCAGCCAUCUGGCCUAACACUGACGCUGAGGUACGAAAGCUUGGGGAGCAAACAGGAUUAGAUACCCCAGUAGUCCCUGUCUCUUAUAC
This 303-nucleotide ribosomal RNA is filed under the name uncultured bacterium. Its description in RNAcentral is "partial 16S ribosomal RNA". It matches the Rfam family "Bacterial small subunit ribosomal RNA", at positions 507 to 807 of the family's 1533-position model. The record is from RNAcentral.